GAGAGGCCCUGUAACGCCCAUAUGUGCCCCCACAGCCCUGUUAGGGACAGGAGGAGAAUCUCACCCUAACUUGAGCAAAGUCGAAGGCUCGGUUACCCUUAGACCGGACGGGGGGAGAGGCCCUGCAACGUCCGUAUGUGCCCCCGUAGCCCUGUUAGGGAUAGGAGGAGAACCUCGCCCUAACUUGAGCAAGGUCUAAGGCCCGGUUAUACUUAGAUCGGGUGGGAGGAGAGGCCCCGCAAUGCCCAUAUGUGCCCCCAUAGCCCUGUUAGGGACAGGAGGAGAACCUCACCCUAACUUGAGCAAGGUCGAAGGUCCGGUUACACUUAGACCGGGUGGGGGGAGAGGCCCCGCAAUGCCCAUAUGUGCCCCCAUAGCCCUGUUAGCGACAAGAGGAGGACCUCGUCCUAACCUGAGCUAAAACCAAUUACGUCAGAAAUAGAGGAAGAACCCCGUCCUGACACCAAUUGAGAUUCGGUCACUUAAGACUGGAUAGGAAGAAGGGAACCUUCCCAGCGACCCCUUCGCGCCCCCGUGACCCCGCCAAGAGCAGAGGGAAAACCCUCACUCAAAAAAAAAGGAGGGAAGAAGAAGAAGGAGGGAA
This 604-nucleotide long non-coding RNA is filed under the name Elaeis guineensis (African oil palm). RNAcentral describes it as "long non-coding RNA (EGUI_LNC059659)". Lineage: Eukaryota; Viridiplantae; Streptophyta; Magnoliopsida; Arecales; Arecaceae. The record is from RNAcentral.